Molecule: ribosomal RNA, 264 nt
Filed under: uncultured archaeon
Lineage: Archaea
Description: partial 16S ribosomal RNA
Rfam family: Archaeal small subunit ribosomal RNA
Source: RNAcentral
ACACGACUACAUUAGAUACCCCUGUAGUCCCAGCCCUAAACGAUGCGCGUUAGGUGUAUCGGUGACCACGAGUCACCGAGGUGCCGAAGGGAAACCGUGAAACGUGCCGCCUGGGAAGUACGGUCGCAAGGCUGAAACUUAAAGGAAUUGCGGGGGAGCACCACAACGGGUGGAGCCUGCGGUUUAAUUGGACUCAACGCCGGGAAGCUCACCGGAUAAGACAGCGGAAUGAUUGCCGGGCUGAAGACCCUGCAUGACCAGCUG